RNAcentral lists this ribosomal RNA (494 nucleotides) under uncultured bacterium. RNAcentral describes it as "bacterial SSU rRNA". It matches the Rfam family "Bacterial small subunit ribosomal RNA", at positions 8 to 526 of the family's 1533-position model. The record is from RNAcentral.
AGAGUUUGAUCAUGGCUCAGGACAAACGCUGGCGGCGUGCGUAACACAUGCAAGUCGAACGCGCGGGGGCAACCCUGGCGCGUGGCGGACGGGUGAGGAACACGUGAGGAACCUGGCUCUUGGUGGGGGACAACCUGCAGAAAUGCGGGCUAAUCCCGCAUACGGCUCCGGUGGGAGGACAUCGGAGAGAAAGCAGUAAUGCGCCGAGAGAGGGGCUUGCGGCCGAUUAGCUAGUUGGUGUGGUAAGAGCGCACCAAGGCGACGAUCGGUAGCUGGUCUGAGAGGACGAGCAGCCACACUGGGAUUGAGAACGGCCCAGACUCCUACGGGGGGCAGCAGUGAGGAAUCUUCGGCAAUGGGGGCAACCCUGACCGAGCGACGCCGCGUGCGGGAAGACGGCCUUCGGGUUGUAAACCGCUUUUCUGUGGGACGAGAACGGACGGUACCACAGGAAGAAGCCUCGGCUAACUACGUGCCAGCCGCCGCGGUAAUAC